AAACAGGUAUGGAGGUUUCAAUUUCACGUCAUUAGAGAACUUGCUCCUGAACUGAGCAGGGUAGUUCAGUCCUCACAGAUCAGAAACAUCUCCCUCCUGACCAGAGUGACUGAGGAUGGAUCUUGUCAAGAGGAGCGUCAAGACGUCAUACUGCAGUGGGCUGAGGAACUGAAUCACUCACCACAGACUGGACAGGUAAUUACACCAUGGGGCAGUCACCACAGACUGGACAGGUAAUUACACCAUGGGGCAGUUACCACAGACUGGACAGGUAAUUACACCAUGGGGCAGUCACCACAGACUGGACAGGUAAAUACACCAUGGGGCAGUCACCACAGACUGGACAGGUAAUUACACCAUGGGGCAGUUACCACAGACUGGACAGGUAAUUACACCAUGGGGCAGUCACCACAGACUGGACAGGUACAUACACAACCAGGCAGUUACCACAGACUGGACAGGUAAAUACACCAUGGGGCAGUUACAGUCUGAUGUAGCAAAUUUAGAAAUGUUAUUUUUUUACAGUGG
This 528-nucleotide long non-coding RNA is filed under the name Salmo salar (Atlantic salmon). Its description in RNAcentral is "lncRNA (ENSSSAG00000115734.1)". Lineage: Eukaryota; Metazoa; Chordata; Actinopteri; Salmoniformes; Salmonidae. The record is from RNAcentral.